RNAcentral lists this transfer RNA (74 nucleotides) under Celeribacter neptunius. It matches the Rfam family "tRNA". From Rfam's summary of the family: Transfer RNA (tRNA) molecules are approximately 80 nucleotides in length. Their secondary structure includes four short double-helical elements and three loops (D, anti-codon, and T loops). RNAcentral also lists the same sequence under 2 other names. The record is from Rfam by way of RNAcentral. Lineage: Bacteria; Pseudomonadati; Pseudomonadota; Alphaproteobacteria; Rhodobacterales; Roseobacteraceae.
GCACCUUUAGCUCAGCUGGAUAGAGCGCUGCCCUCCGAAGGCAGAGGCCAGAGGUUCGAAUCCUCUAAGGUGCG